This 497-nucleotide ribosomal RNA is filed under the name uncultured bacterium. RNAcentral's name for it is "partial 16S ribosomal RNA". It matches the Rfam family "Bacterial small subunit ribosomal RNA", at positions 28 to 507 of the family's 1533-position model. The record is from RNAcentral.
GAUGAACGCUGGCGGCGUGCCUAAUACAUGCAAGUCGAGCGAACGGACGAGAAGCUUGCUUCUCUGAUGUUAGCGGUGGACGGGUGAGUAACACGUGGAUAACCUACCUAUAAGACUGGGAUAACUUCGGGAAACCGGAGCUAAUACCGGAUAAUAUUUUGAACCGCAUGGUUCAAAAGUGAAAGACGGUCUUGCUGUCACUUAUAGAUGGAUCCGCGCUGCAUUAGCUAGUUGGUAAGGUAACGGCUUACCAAGGCAACGAUGCAUAGCCGACCUGAGAGGGUGAUCGGCCACACUGGAACUGAGACACGGUCCAGACUCCUACGGGAGGCAGCAGUAGGGAAUCUUCCGCAAUGGGCGAAAGCCUGACGGAGCAACGCCGCGUGAGUGAUGAAGGUCCUCGGAUCGUAAAACUCUGUUAUUAGGGAAGAACAUAUGUGUAAGUAACUGUGCACAUCUUGACGGUACCUAAUCAGAAAGCCACGGCUAACUACGUG